AGUCAAUAGAUACCCCAGGUAGUCCACGCCGUAAACGAUGAGUACUAGGUGUAGGAGGUAUCGACUCCUUCUGUGCCGCAGUUAACACAAUAAGUACUCCGCCUGGGAAGUACGGUCGCAAGAUUAAAACUCAAAGGAAUUGACGGGGGCCCGCACAAGCAGCGGAGCAUGUGGUUUAAUUCGAAGCAACGCGAAGAACCUUACCUAGACUUGACAUCUCCUGAAUAGCGCAGAGAUGCGUGAAGCCCUUCGGGGCAGGAAGACAGUGGUGCAUGGUUGUCGUCAGCUCGUGUCGUGAGAUGUGGUUAAGUCCCGCAACGAGCGCACCCUAUAUAGUGCUACAUAGUGAGCACUCUAAUGAGACUGCCGGUUAACCGGAGAGCGGG
This 386-nucleotide ribosomal RNA is filed under the name uncultured bacterium. RNAcentral describes it as "bacterial SSU rRNA". It matches the Rfam family "Bacterial small subunit ribosomal RNA", at positions 775 to 1174 of the family's 1533-position model. The record is from RNAcentral.